AUGCUGAAGUAUGAAGUAGAUAUGGGAGACAAAGAAAUGCAACAGGCAGAAUGUUGCGUACUAGAAGAGUUUCCACCAACACACGAGCCAAAAGAACAUAUUAUGCAUGCGACAAGCACACAAGAGCAUGAAGUUAUUGAAAUAUCCAGUAGACGCAAAGAGAUUAUGGAUGUCAGCAGCCACACCAUCGCCCAACAAUCUUGCACAGAUCAAGAACAAAAUGAUCCACCAAUAGAACCAGAUCAACCACCACCAGACGACAAGAUACCACACCAUGCUGAAGAGGAAACAGACGAGCAAAAUACCAACAGCAAUAUCACGAGCACGGAGCAACUGAAACAAACAGGCACCGAUUUAAAAGAGGAUGACAGAAGCAACGACGUACCAAAAACACGACAACAGGAAGAAGUUGAUGAAUUUCUUUCAAGCCUCAACCCGCUACAACUAGAAGAAUACAACAAGUAUGUAAAGAUGGUCUAUGAGUUCGAUGUAAUCAAAACAUGGCUGAAUGACCAUGAAAGCUAUGAAUUCAACAAAGAUGACAUGCCGUAUCUGAAAAUCUUGCAGCAAGAAUCAGGAGAAGAUUAA
RNAcentral lists this ribosomal RNA (588 nucleotides) under Triticum aestivum (bread wheat). RNAcentral describes it as "partial small subunit ribosomal RNA". Lineage: Eukaryota; Viridiplantae; Streptophyta; Magnoliopsida; Poales; Poaceae. The record is from RNAcentral.